RNAcentral lists this ribosomal RNA (1189 nucleotides) under metagenome. Its description in RNAcentral is "SSU rRNA". It matches the Rfam family "Eukaryotic small subunit ribosomal RNA", at positions 582 to 1759 of the family's 1831-position model. The record is from RNAcentral.
AUUCCAGCUCCAAUAGGAUAUAUCAAAGUUGUUGCAGUUAAAAAGCUCGUAGUUGAAUUUCUGGAAGGUAGAAGUGUUUUUUUCAGAGAAGCAAUUUUUUAUGAAAGACACCGCUUUCCAUUUUGUGGAUUUCUGUUUUGUAUAAAGAUAGUUUACUCUAUUUUUAUAUAAAAUACCACUCCGUCACUGAGAGCAAAUUGGAGUGCUCAAAGCAGGCUUUAUUAGCUUUGAACAUUUUAGCUUGGAAUGACAAGAUAUGACUUUUGUUUUAUUUUGUUGGUUAUGAAAUAAAAGUAAUGAUUAACAGGAACAGUUGCGGGGGUACUCGUAUUGAAAGGUCAGAGGUGAAAUUCUUGGAUUCUUUCAAGACGAACGACUGCGAAAGCAUUUACCAAGGAUGUUUUCAUUAAUCAAGAACGAAAGCUCGGGGAUCGAAGAUGAUUAGAUACCAUCGUAGUCCGACGCCAUAAACGAUGCCGACUCGGGAUUAUUUUGUUUGUUUAAACUAAAAAAGAACACAAAGUAGCACCGUAUGAGAAAUCAAAGUCUUUGGGUUCCGGGGGGAGUAUGGUCGCAAGGCUGAAACUUAAAGGAAUUGACGGAAGGGCACACCAGAGGUGGAGCCUGCGGUUUAAUUUGACCCAACACGGGGAAACUUACCAGGUCCAGACAUGAUGAGGAUUGACAGUUUGAAAGCACUUUCUUGAUUUCAUGGGUGGUGGUGCAUGGCCGUUCUUAGUUGGUGGAGUGAUUUGUCUGGUUGAUUCCGAUAACGAACGAGACGGGGUGAAUUUACUAGUUUGUUAUAUAAUUUACGUUAUAUAAGACUUCUUUAUUCGACAACUUGGUUUUACCAAGAGGAAGCGCCCCGCAAUAACAGGUCUGUGAUGCCCUUAGAUGUUCUGGGCUACACGCGCGCUACAAUGACGAAUUCAACGAGUUUAAAAUUAAUUCCUUAUCCGGAAGGAUGUGGGUAAUCUUUUCAAUAUUCGUCGUGAUGGGGCUAGAUUUUUGCAAUUAUUAAUCUUCAACGAGGAAUCUCUAGUAUGUGCAAGUCAUCAGCUUGCGCAGAAUGCGUCCCUGCCCUUUGUACACACCGCCCGUCGCACCUACCGAUUGGACGAUCCGGCAAGAUGUUUGGAGUUGUUUUGAUUGUAGAGUAAUUUAUGAUGAAAAUGACAAAGCUCUU